AGUCGAGGGGUAAGGAGAUAGCAAUAUUUCCCUAGACCGGCGCACGGGUGAGUAACGCGUAUGCAACCUGCCCUUUACAGGGGGAUAGCCCGGAGAAAUCCGGAUUAAUACCCCAUGGAUCUGCAACCUCGCAUGAGGAAACAGGUAAAGCUGAGGCGGUAAAGGAUGGGCAUGCGUGACAUUAGCUAGUUGGUAAGGUAACGGCUUACCAAGGCUACGAUGUCUAGGGGUUCUGAGAGGAAGGUCCCCCACACUGGUACUGAGACACGGACCAGACUCCUACGGGAGGCAGCAGUGAGGAAUAUUGGUCAAUGGGCGCGAGCCUGAACCAGCCAUCCCGCGUGCAGGAAGAAGGCCCUAUGGGUUGUAAACUGCUUUUGUGCAGGAAUAAAUGUACCCUCGUGAGGGUAUUUGAAGGUACUGCGUGAAUAAGCACCGGCUAACUCCGUGCCAGCAGCCGCGGUAAUACGGAGGGUGCAAGCGUUAUCCGGAUUUAUUGGGUUUAAAGGGUGCGUAGGCGGUAUUUUAAGUCAGUGGUGAAAUGUUGCAGCUUAACUGUAGAAUUGCCAUUGAAACUGAAGUACUUGAGUUAUCUUGAGGUAGGCGGAAUGUGUAGUGUAGCGGUGAAAUGCUUAGAUAUUACACAGAACACCGAUUGCGAAGGCAGCUUACUAAGGAUAAACUGACGCUCAGGCACGAAAGCGUGGGGAU
RNAcentral lists this ribosomal RNA (711 nucleotides) under uncultured bacterium. RNAcentral describes it as "bacterial SSU rRNA". It matches the Rfam family "Bacterial small subunit ribosomal RNA", at positions 60 to 768 of the family's 1533-position model. The record is from RNAcentral.